This 928-nucleotide ribosomal RNA is filed under the name uncultured bacterium. RNAcentral describes it as "bacterial SSU rRNA". It matches the Rfam family "Bacterial small subunit ribosomal RNA", at positions 8 to 951 of the family's 1533-position model. The record is from RNAcentral.
AGAGUUUGAUCAUGGCUCAGGACGAACGCUGGCGGCGUGCUUAACACAUGCAAGUCGAGCGAUGAGAUCCCUUCGGGGAUGGAUUAGCGGCGAACGGGUGAGGAACACGUGAAGAAUCUGCCUUCAACUCUGGGAUAACACCGGGAAACCGGUGCUAAUACCGGAUAUGAGCCUUGAUCGCAUGAUCGGGGCUGGAAAGUUUUUCGGUUGAAGAUGACUUCGCGGCCUAUCAGCUAGUUGGUGAGGUAAUAGCUCACCAAGGCGACGACGGGUAGCCGGCCUGAGAGGGCGACCGGCCACACUGGGACUGAGACACGGCCCAGACUCCUACGGGAGGCAGCAGUGGGGAAUAUUGGGCAAUGGACGAAAGUCUGACCCAGCGACGCCGCGUGAGGGAUGAAGGCCUUCGGGUUGUAAACCUCUUUCAGCAGGGAAGAAGCGAAAGUGACGGUACCUGCAGAAGAAGCACCGGCUAACUAUGUGCCAGCAGCCGCGGUAAUACAUAGGGUGCAAGCGUUGUCCGGAAUUAUUGGGCGUAAAGAGCUCGUAGGUGGUUAGUUACGUCGGAUGUGAAAAUCUAGGGCUCAACCCUAGACCUGCAUCCGAUACGGGCUAGCUUGAGUUUGGUAGGGGAGACUGGAAUUCCUGGUGUAGCGGUGGAAUGCGCAGAUAUCAGGAGGAACACCAAUGGCGAAGGCAGGUCUCUGGGCCAAUACUGACACUGAGGAGCGAAAGUGUGGGGAGCGAACAGGAUUAGAUACCCUGGUAGUCCACACAGUAAACGAUGGGCACUAGUUGUGGGAACCUUCCACGGUUUCUGCGACGCAGCUAACGCAUUAAGUGCCCCGCCUGGGGAGUACGAUCGCAAGAUUAAAACUCAAAGGAAUUGACGGGGCCCCGCACAAGCAGCGGAGCAUGCGGCUUAAUU